GAUGAACGCUGGCGGCGUGCCUAAUACAUGCAAGUCGAGCGAACAGACGAGGAGCUUUCUCCUCUGACGUUAGCGGCGGACGGGUGAGUAACACGUGGAUAACCUACCUAUAAGACUGGGAUAACUUCGGGAAACCGGAUCUAAUACCGGAUAAUAUAUUGAACCGCAUGGUUCAAUAGUGAAAGACGGUUUUGCUGUCACUUAUAGAUGGAUCCGCGCCGCAUUAGCUAGUUGGUAAGGUAACGGCUUACCAAGGCAACGAUGCGUAGCCGACCUGAGAGGGUGAUCGGCCACACUGGAACUGAGACACGGUCCAGACUCCUACGGGAGGCAGCAGUAGGGAAUCUUCCGCAAUGGGCGAAAGCUUGACGGAGCAACGCCGCGUGAGUGAUGAAGGUCUUCGGAUCGUAAAACUCUGUUAUUAGGGAAGAACAAAUGUGUAAGUAACUAUGCACGUCUUGACGGUACCUAAUCAGAAAGCCACGGCUAACUACGUG
Molecule: ribosomal RNA, 497 nt
Filed under: uncultured bacterium
Lineage: Bacteria
Description: partial 16S ribosomal RNA
Rfam family: Bacterial small subunit ribosomal RNA
Source: RNAcentral